GCAUUAGUGGUUCAGUGAUAGAAUUAUCACCUUCUAUGCAGAAGAUCUGGAUUCGAUUCCCAGCCAACGCA
Molecule: transfer RNA, 71 nt
Filed under: Loxodonta africana (African savanna elephant)
Lineage: Eukaryota; Metazoa; Chordata; Mammalia; Proboscidea; Elephantidae
Rfam family: tRNA
About the family: Transfer RNA (tRNA) molecules are approximately 80 nucleotides in length. Their secondary structure includes four short double-helical elements and three loops (D, anti-codon, and T loops). Further hydrogen bonds mediate the characteristic L-shaped molecular structure. tRNAs have two regions of fundamental functional importance: the anti-codon, which is responsible for specific mRNA codon recognition, and the 3' end, to which the tRNAs corresponding amino acid is attached (by aminoacyl-tRNA synthetases). tRNAs cope with the degeneracy of the genetic code in two manners: having more than one tRNA (with a specific anti-codon) for a particular amino acid; and 'wobble' base-pairing, i.e. permitting non-standard base-pairing at the 3rd anti-codon position.
Source: Rfam by way of RNAcentral